UGGCAGACGGGUGAGUAAGGCGUGGAAACAUACCCUUUUCUUGCGGAAUAGNUCCGGGAAACUGGAAUUAAUACCGCAUACGCCCUACGGGGGAAAGAUUUAUCGGGGAAGGAUUGGCCCGCGUUGGAUUAGCUAGUUGGUGGGGUAAAGGCCUACCAAGGCGACGAUCCAUAGCUGGUCUGAGAGGAUGAUCAGCCACAUUGGGACUGAGACACGGCCCAAACUCCUACGGGAGGCAGCAGUGGGGAAUAUUGGACAAUGGGCGCAAGCCUGAUCCAGCCAUGCCGCGUGAGUGAUGAAGGCCUUAGGGUUGUAAAGCUCUUUCACCGGAGAAGAUAAUGACGGUAUC
This 349-nucleotide ribosomal RNA is filed under the name uncultured bacterium. RNAcentral describes it as "bacterial SSU rRNA". It matches the Rfam family "Bacterial small subunit ribosomal RNA", at positions 96 to 479 of the family's 1533-position model. The record is from RNAcentral.